This 74-nucleotide ribosomal RNA is filed under the name uncultured bacterium. Its description in RNAcentral is "partial 16S ribosomal RNA". The record is from RNAcentral.
CAGGCUCGAACGGCAGAUGAAUACAUAAGAGAUUAUGUAGUCCUUCGGGACAUUUGUCGAGGUGCUGCAUGGUU